RNAcentral lists this ribosomal RNA (482 nucleotides) under uncultured bacterium. RNAcentral's name for it is "partial 16S ribosomal RNA". It matches the Rfam family "Bacterial small subunit ribosomal RNA", at positions 29 to 505 of the family's 1533-position model. The record is from RNAcentral.
AUUGAACGCUGGCGGCAUGCUUUACACAUGCAAGUCGAACGGCAGCGCGGGCUUCGGCCUGGCGGCGAGUGGCGAACGGGUGAGUAAUGCAUCGGAACGUGCCCAGUAGUGGGGGAUAGCCCGGCGAAAGCCGGAUUAAUACCGCAUACGACCUGAGGGUGAAAGCGGGGGACCGAAAGGCCUCGCGCUAUUGGAGCGGCCGAUGUCGGAUUAGCUAGUUGGUGGGGUAAAGGCUUACCAAGGCGACGAUCCGUAGCUGGUCUGAGAGGACGACCAGCCACACUGGGACUGAGACACGGCCCAGACUCCUACGGGAGGCAGCAGUGGGGAAUUUUGGACAAUGGGGGCAACCCUGAUCCAGCCAUGCCGCGUGCGGGAAGAAGGCCUUCGGGUUGUAAACCGCUUUUGUUCGGGAAGAAAUCCUCUGGGCUAAUACCCCGGGGGGAUGACGGUACCGGAAGAAUAAGCACCGGCGAACUACG